GGUAUUUAGUUUCAAAAAAGUAUCCGAUGACCCCGCCCAAUAAUUAAGAUGGUCGCAAUGUCUAAAAGAAGAGCAUCGCAUAAAAUGUAGAUUUUGGCUUAUAUAUCUGAAACAAAACCAUAGAGACAAUCUAACAAGGGAUAAGAACAUUUCGCCUCAUAAAAUAAUGUGGACCAGUCAGAACUUUUCAUGUGGGACAAUAUGAGCUCUUAAUUUAAAAAAAAGUGGGACAAUCGGGA
RNAcentral lists this long non-coding RNA (239 nucleotides) under Mytilus galloprovincialis (Mediterranean mussel). The record is from RNAcentral. Lineage: Eukaryota; Metazoa; Mollusca; Bivalvia; Mytilida; Mytilidae.